This 102-nucleotide non-coding RNA is filed under the name Jeotgalibacillus soli. Its description in RNAcentral is "Guanine sequence". It matches the Rfam family "Purine riboswitch aptamer". Rfam says of the family: Riboswitches are metabolite binding domains within certain messenger RNAs that serve as precision sensors for their corresponding targets. Allosteric rearrangement of mRNA structure is mediated by ligand binding, and this results in modulation of gene expression. Lineage: Bacteria; Bacillati; Bacillota; Bacilli; Caryophanales; Caryophanaceae. The record is from Rfam by way of RNAcentral.
AUUAAAUAUUUUUAUAUUCGUCGUAUAAAAUCGGGAAUAAGGCUCGAAAGUUUCUACCAAGCUACCGUAAAUGGCUUGACUACGAGGUAUUGAACGGACCUG